GCCACGGGGAGGCUCCCUCUUUAGAUGAUCCUGAAGCUGAUUGUCUCCCCUGCCAUGUUGCUGAAUGACUGGAUCUAGCUGCCCUCUCCUGUAGUCGGACUUUCGAGCGGACUUGGACCUUUUCUUAUGAUCUUUAUGCUGUGCUGCCAGUCUUGAUAGAGCUCUCUUCUUCACUUCAGGAGCUCCAAUACCAACAUCUGGUCAUCUGGCGUCAUCUGAAGAUGAUGUAUCUGGUUCGAACUGAGGAACAUUGAGCGCACCCACCAGUUGUCACCGUCAUCUCCAGAGCACACCUCGGAGUGCUGACUACACUUGGAACAGUCCCCUGAAUAGCACGACACGGUGGCAUCUAACACAUCAGGGUCCUGUGUGAAAAGUCCUG
Pecten maximus is the source of this 382-nucleotide long non-coding RNA. RefSeq lists it as uncharacterized. The transcript has 4 exons. NCBI's taxonomy places the organism in Eukaryota, Metazoa, Mollusca, Bivalvia, Pectinida, Pectinidae. The record is from RefSeq and is a predicted model, not a curated record.